Molecule: ribosomal RNA, 279 nt
Filed under: uncultured bacterium
Lineage: Bacteria
Description: partial 16S ribosomal RNA
Rfam family: Bacterial small subunit ribosomal RNA
Source: RNAcentral
UGCCAGCAGCCGCGGUAAUACGGAGGGGGUUAGUGUUGUUCGGAAUUACUGGGCUUAAAGAGUUCGUAGGUGGUUAAAAAAGUUGAUGGUGAAAUCCCAAGGCUCAACCUUGGAACUGCCAUCAAAACUUUUUAGCUAGAGUAUGAUAGAGGAAAGUGGAAUUUCUAGUGUAGAGGUGAAAUUCGUAGAUAUUAGAAAGAACAUCAAAUGCGAAGGCAACUUUCUGGAUCAUUACUGACACUGAGGAACGAAAGCAUGGGUAGCGAAGAGGAUUAGAUA